RNAcentral lists this unclassified non-coding RNA (378 nucleotides) under soil metagenome. Its description in RNAcentral is "partial contains 5.8S ribosomal RNA, internal transcribed spacer 2, and large subunit ribosomal RNA". The stretch from base 1 to 120 matches the Rfam family "5.8S ribosomal RNA", at positions 35 to 154 of the family's 154-position model. The record is from RNAcentral.
GAUGAAGAACGUAGCGAAAUGCGAUAAGUAAUGUGAAUUGCAGAAUUCAGUGAAUCACCGAAUCUUUGAACGCACCUUGCACCCUUUGGCAUUCCGAAGGGUAUGCUCGUUUGAGUGUCAUUGUACUCUCACACUUCCAAUCUUUGGAUUGGGAGCGGUGGACUUGGGUGUUGCUGCUUACUGUGGCUCACCUCAAAUCGAUUCGUGCACCUCUUGGUUGGACAUAGUACGGCGUGAUAAGUGUCUUCGCCGGCACCUCAGUAGAGGGUGGCUGAUCAGGAGCUCUGUGCUUCAAACCGUCCUCGGACAACAACUGACAACUUGACCUCAAAUCGAGUAGGACUACCCGCUGAACUUAAGCAUAUCAAUAAGCGGAGG